Molecule: ribosomal RNA, 1254 nt
Filed under: uncultured delta proteobacterium
Lineage: Bacteria; Deltaproteobacteria
Description: partial 16S ribosomal RNA
Rfam family: Bacterial small subunit ribosomal RNA
Source: RNAcentral
GAAGGUUGAUCUGGCUCACAUAACGCUGGUCGCCGGCCUAACACAUGCCAGUCGAGCGAGCACAAACGUUCUUGGUUGGACCGGCGGACGGAUGAGUAACGCGUGGUAAUCACUGGUAGUAGGGGGACAACAGCCGGAAACUAUGAACGUAUACGCCCUGACAUACCCAGACCCCGCGUCGGAUUAGCUUGUUGGUGAGGUAAAGGCUCACCAAGGCGAUGAUCCGUAGCUGGUCUGAGAGGAUGAUCCUCCACACUGGAACUGGAACACGGUCCAGACUCCUACGGGAGGCAGCACUGUGGAAUAUUGGGCAAUGGGCGCAAGCCUGACCCAGCAACGCCGUGUGAGGGAGGUUCGUCGACCUCUGUCACAAGGGCGAAUACCCCUUCAAAGGAAUCACGGGCAACUCCGUGCCAGCAGCCGCGGUAAUACGGAGGGUGCGAGCGUUAUUCGGAAUCACUGGGCGUAAAGGGCGCGUAGGCGGCUGGUAAAGUCAGGGGUGAAAUCNCACGGGUCAACCGUGGAAUUGCCUUUGAAACUGCUGGGCUUGGAUCCUGGAGAGGGUGGCGGAAUUCCUGGUGUAGGAGUGAAAUCCGUAGAUAUCAGGAGGAACACCGGUGGCGAAGGCGGCCGCCUGGACAGUAUCGACGNUGAGGCGCGAAAGUGUGGGGAGCAAACAGGAUUAGAUACCCUGGUAGUCCACACCGUAAACGAUGGAUACUAGGUGUUGGGGGCAUGACCCUCAGUGCCGGAGCUAACGCGUUAAGUAUCCCGCCUGGGGAGUACGGUCGCAAGGCUGAAACUCAAAGAAAUUGACGGGGGCCCGCACAAGCGGUGGAGUAUGUGGUUUAAUUCGAUGCAACGCGAAGAACCUUACCUGGGCACAUCCUGGGAAUCCUGCAGAGAUGCGGGAGUUGCCCAGGAAGGUGCUGCAUGGCUGUCGUCAGCUCGUGCCGUGAGGUGUUGGGUUAAGUCCCGCAACGAGCGCAACCCUUGUUCCUAGUUGCCAUCAGGUGAAGCUGGGCACUCUAGGGAGACUGCCCGGGUCAACCGGGAGGAAGGUGGGGACGACGUCAAGUCAUCAUGGCCCUUUCGCCCAGGGUUACACCCGUAUUACAAUGGCGAGUACAAAGGGCAGCGAUACCGUGAGUUGGAGUGUUCCCAAAAAUCUCGUAGUAGUCCGGAUCGCUGUUUGCAAUUCGAUCGCAUGAAUGUGGGAUCGACAACGGCCCUUCACCUUCCUUCGCCUGCCUC